UGUAAGCGUAUACCAAAGUUGUUGCAGUUAAAACGCUCGUAGUCGGAAUUUGGCAGUUCCGGAUGUGUGCACGUCGUGUGCGCACUUCGCGGGAAUUGCUUUUGUGGUCUUGCGUAGGAUGAGGCACUUUUAUUAGUGAACGUCCUCACGCAACCACUUUUUACUGUGAGAAAAUCAGAGUGCUCAAAGCAGGCAUUUGCCGUGAAUGUAUUAGCAUGGAAUAAUAGAAUAGGACUUGGUUCUAUUUUGUUGGUUUGUUGGGACUGAGUAAUGAUUAAGAGGGACAGUUGGGGGCAUUUGUAUUUCGGUGCUAGAGGUGAAAUUCUUAGAUUACCGAAAGACAAACUGCUGCGAAAGCGUCUGCCAAGGAUGUUUUCAUUGA
RNAcentral lists this ribosomal RNA (382 nucleotides) under uncultured eukaryote. Its description in RNAcentral is "partial 18S ribosomal RNA". It matches the Rfam family "Eukaryotic small subunit ribosomal RNA", at positions 592 to 976 of the family's 1831-position model. The record is from RNAcentral.